UGGGGUAUACUUGGGCCCAAGCUCGAGCUUGCAAAUAAACCCUCGUGCGUUUGCAUCGGUAUCGGCUCUUUGGUGGUCUCUCGGAUUUGAAAUUGGGGGCGUUACACCUCUCAACCUAAAUGCAGGCUAUAACAUCAGUUACACAGCUGGGGGAACGAACCACUGUUGUUGGAACCUAGGCAGAGCUGCCUAUAUCAUCCAGCAAAACAAACAAACAAACAAAAAACCCUGGAAACCAAAAGCACCAAGAGCCUUGGAGGAGCAAAGGGGGAAGAGAACUGUGAAAGCCGGUCUCCUCACUCCACCACAGGCUUCAGAAGACUCCAUCAGAUGGUGUAGAUUAAAGAAAAGUUGGGGCACCUAGGUGGCUCA
Molecule: long non-coding RNA, 372 nt
Organism: Prionailurus viverrinus (fishing cat)
Lineage: Eukaryota; Metazoa; Chordata; Mammalia; Carnivora; Felidae
Exons: 3
Source: RefSeq, a predicted model, not a curated record